UACGAAGGGGGCUAGCGUUGCUCGGAAUCACUGGGCGUAAAGCGCACGUAGGCGGCUUUUUAAGUCAGGGGUGAAAUCCUGGAGCUCAACUCCAGAACUGCCUUUGAUACUGAGAAGCUUGAGUUCGGGAGAGGUGAGUGGAACUGCGAGUGUAGAGGUGAAAUUCGUAGAUAUUCGCAAGAACACCAGUGGCGAAGGCGGCUACCUGGACCGAUAUUGACGCUGAGACGCGAAAGCGUGGGGAGCAAACAGG
This 253-nucleotide ribosomal RNA is filed under the name uncultured bacterium. RNAcentral describes it as "partial 16S ribosomal RNA". It matches the Rfam family "Bacterial small subunit ribosomal RNA", at positions 524 to 776 of the family's 1533-position model. The record is from RNAcentral.